RNAcentral lists this ribosomal RNA (572 nucleotides) under Trigonopterus sp. 548 AR-2022a. RNAcentral's name for it is "SSU rRNA". It matches the Rfam family "Eukaryotic small subunit ribosomal RNA", at positions 30 to 578 of the family's 1831-position model. The record is from RNAcentral. Lineage: Eukaryota; Metazoa; Arthropoda; Insecta; Coleoptera; Curculionidae.
GCUUGUCUCAAAGAUUAAGCCAUGCAUGUCUCAGUACAAGCCAAAUUAAGGUGAAACCGCGAAAGGCUCAUUAAAUCAGUUAUGGUUCCUUAGGUCGUACCCACAAUUACUUGGAUAACUGUGGUAAUUCUAGAGCUAAUACAUGCAAACAGAGCUCCGACCGGAGACGGAAGGAGUGCUUUUAUUAGAUCAAAACCAAUCGGUGGCGGGUUUACACUCGUCAUCGUACAACUUGGUGACUCUGAAUAACUUUACGCUGAUCGCACGGUCAUCGCACCGGCGACGCAUCUUUCAAAUGUCUGCCUUAUCAACUGUCGAUGGUAGGUUCUGCGCCUACCAUGGUUGUAACGGGUAACGGGGAAUCAGGGUUCGAUUCCGGAGAGGGAGCCUGAGAAACGGCUACCACAUCCAAGGAAGGCAGCAGGCGCGCAAAUUACCCACUCCCGGCACGGGGAGGUAGUGACGAAAAAUAACGAUACGGGACUCAUCCGAGGCCCCGUAAUCGGAAUGAGAACACUCUAAACCCUUUAACGAGGAUCAAUUGGAGGGCAAGUCUGGUGCCAGCAGCCGCG